Molecule: ribosomal RNA, 167 nt
Filed under: Myrothecium inundatum
Lineage: Eukaryota; Fungi; Ascomycota; Sordariomycetes; Hypocreales; Stachybotryaceae
Description: 5.8S ribosomal RNA
Rfam family: 5.8S ribosomal RNA
About the family: 5.8S ribosomal RNA (5.8S rRNA) is a component of the large subunit of the eukaryotic ribosome. It is transcribed by RNA polymerase I as part of the 45S precursor that also contains 18S and 28S rRNA.
Source: RNAcentral
AACAAAUAAAUCAAAACUUUCAACAACGGAUCUCUUGGUUCUGGCAUCGAUGAAGAACGCAGCGAAAUGCGAUAAGUAAUGUGAAUUGCAGAAUUCAGUGAAUCAUCGAAUCUUUGAACGCACAUUGCGCCCGCCAGUAUUCUGGCGGGCAUGCCUGUUCGAGCGUC